GUCUGCGCAGGCGCAGAGCACUUAGGACCGGAAGUAGAGGCGUCCGCCGCUGGUUCGGAGACUAGGAGAUCUUGGAGCAGUCCUGUCGUCACCCAGCUUCAGACUACUCAGAAGUGAUGUACUCUGCCUGGUGUCUGCUCUGUCCGUGGGAGUCAUCCCAGCCACUUCACAAGGUCUCCUCACUCAAAACUAAAAUAGAGCUCCAACAGUUCCUAGGGUUGGACUGAGUCCCCUCCUACCCCUGUGACUGCAUAAAGUAAACCUCUGGACUCUGAGACUGAAGGCUGAGUUGGUGAAAUUGCUAAUGCCACCAGGAGGUGAUUGGUGGCCUUUUAUGUCAGUUUUUCCCAGGUUGGAUGUCCCUGUGCCUUUGCUGUUUCCCGUGUGUUGGAAUUGAAUUUGAGUAAUAGUU
Molecule: long non-coding RNA, 412 nt
Organism: Peromyscus eremicus (cactus mouse)
Lineage: Eukaryota; Metazoa; Chordata; Mammalia; Rodentia; Cricetidae
Exons: 2
Source: RefSeq, a predicted model, not a curated record